AUUGAACGCUGGCGGCAUGCUUUACACAUGCAAGUCGAACGGCAGCGGGGGCUUCGGCCUGCCGGCGAGUGGCGAACGGGUGAGUAAUGCAUCGGAACGUGCCCAUGUCGUGGGGGAUAACGUAGCGAAAGCUACGCUAAUACCGCAUACGUCCUGAGGGAGAAAGCGGGGGAUCUUAGGACCUCGCGCGAUUGGAGCGGCCGAUGUCGGAUUAGCUAGUAGGUGGGGUAAAGGCCCACCUAGGCGACGAUCCGUAGCGGGUCUGAGAGGAUGAUCCGCCACACUGGGACUGAGACACGGCCCAGACUCCUACGGGAGGCAGCAGUGGGGGAAUUUUGGACAAUGGGCGCAAGCCUGAUCCAGCCAUGCCGCGUGAGUGAAGAAGG
This 386-nucleotide ribosomal RNA is filed under the name uncultured bacterium. Its description in RNAcentral is "bacterial SSU rRNA". It matches the Rfam family "Bacterial small subunit ribosomal RNA", at positions 28 to 414 of the family's 1533-position model. The record is from RNAcentral.